AGGGUCUUCGGAUUGUAACCCCUUUCAGGAGGGCGAAGCGCAAGUGACGGUACCUGCAGAAGAAGCACCGGCUAACUACGUGCCAGCAGCCGCGGUAAUACGUAGGGUGCGAGCGUUGUCCGGAAUUACUGGGCGUAAAGAGCUCGUAGGCGGUUUGUCACGUCGUCUGUGAAAUCCCUCGGCUUAACCGGGGGCGUGCAGGCCAUACGGGCAGACUUGAGUACUACAGGGGAGACUGGAAUUCCUGGUGUAGCGGUGAAAUGCGCAGAUAUCAGGAGGAACACCGGUAGCGAAGGCGGGUCUCUGGGUAGUAACUGACGCUGAGGAGCGAAAGCAUGGGUAGCGAACAGGAUUAGAUACCCUGGUAGUCCAUGCCGUAAACGGUGGGCGCUAGGUGUGGGGUCCUUCCACGGACUCCGUGCCGUAGCUAACGCAUUAAGCGCCCCGCCUGGGGAGUACGGCCGCAAGGCUAAAACUCAAAGGAAUUGACG
RNAcentral lists this ribosomal RNA (491 nucleotides) under uncultured bacterium. RNAcentral's name for it is "bacterial SSU rRNA". It matches the Rfam family "Bacterial small subunit ribosomal RNA", at positions 411 to 915 of the family's 1533-position model. The record is from RNAcentral.